GAAUUCGCCCUUAGAGUUUCCUUUUGGCUCAGGAUGAACGCUGGCGGCGUGCUUAACACAUGCAAGUUGAACGAAGCAUCUUGACCUCUUCGGAUAGACGGAUGACUGAGUGGCGGACGGGUGAGUAACGCGUGGGUAACCUGCCUCGUACAGGGGGACAACAGUUGGAAACGACUGCUAAUACCGCAUAAGCGCACGGCAUCGCAUGAUGCAGUGUGAAAAGCUGAGGCGGUACGAGAUGGACCCGCGUUGGAUUAGGUAGUUGGUGAGAUAACAGCCCACCAAGGCGACGAUCGGUAGCCGACCUGAGAGGGUGAUCGGCCACAUUGGAACUGAGAAACGGUCCAGACUCCUACGGGAGGCAGCAGUGGGGAAUAUUGGGCAAUGGGGGAAACCCUGACCCAGCAACGCCGCGUGAAGGAUGAAGGUCUUCGGAUUGUAAACUUCUUUGAUUAAGGACGAAUAUUGACGGUACUUAAAGAACAAGUCACGGCUAACUACGUGCCAGCAGCCGCGGUAAUACGUAGGUGACAAGCGUUAUCCGGAUUUACUGGGUGUAAAGGGCGUGUAGGCGGUUUGGCAAGUCAGAUGUGAAAUUCCCGGGCUUAACUUGGGCGCUGCAUCUGAAACUGCUUAACUUGAGUGCUGGAGAGGAUAGCGGAAUUCCUAGUGUAGCGGUAAAAUGCGUAGAUAUUAGGAGGAACACCAGUGGCGAAGGCGGCUUUCUGGACUGAAACUGACGCUGAGGCGCGAAAGCGUGGGGAGCAAACAGGAUUAGAUACCCUGGUAGUCCACGCGGUAAACGAUG
RNAcentral lists this ribosomal RNA (808 nucleotides) under uncultured bacterium. RNAcentral's name for it is "bacterial SSU rRNA". It matches the Rfam family "Bacterial small subunit ribosomal RNA", at positions 1 to 811 of the family's 1533-position model. The record is from RNAcentral.